Molecule: ribosomal RNA, 690 nt
Filed under: uncultured bacterium
Lineage: Bacteria
Description: bacterial SSU rRNA
Rfam family: Bacterial small subunit ribosomal RNA
Source: RNAcentral
CACGGACUUCGGUCUGGUGGCGAGUGGCGAACGGGUGAGUAAUGUAUCGGAACGUGCCCAGUAGCGGGGGAUAACUACGCGAAAGCGUAGCUAAUACCGCAUACGCCCUACGGGGGAAAGCAGGGGAUCGUAAGACCUUGCACUAUUGGAGCGGCCGAUAUCGGAUUAGCUAGUUGGUGGGGUAACGGCUCACCAAGGCGACGAUCCGUAGCUGGUUUGAGAGGACGACCAGCCACACUGGGACUGAGACACGGCCCAGACUCCUACGGGAGGCAGCAGUGGGGAAUUUUGGACAAUGGGGGAAACCCUGAUCCAGCCAUCCCGCGUGUGCGAUGAAGGCCUUCGGGUUGUAAAGCACUUUUGGCAGGAAAGAAACGUCAUGGGUUAAUACCCCGUGAAACUGACGGUACCUGCAGAAUAAGCACCGGCUAACUACGUGCCAGCAGCCGCGGUAAUACGUAGGGUGCAAGCGUUAAUCGGAAUUACUGGGCGUAAAGCGUGCGCAGGCGGUUCGGAAAGAAAGAUGUGAAAUCCCAGAGCUUAACUUUGGAACUGCAUUUUUAACUACCGGGCUAGAGUGUGUCAGAGGGAGGUGGAAUUCCGCGUGUAGCAGUGAAAUGCGUAGAUAUGCGGAGGAACACCGAUGGCGAAGGCAGCCUCCUGGGAUAACACUGACGCUCAUGCACGAAA